Long non-coding RNA from Sapajus apella (tufted capuchin), 456 nucleotides. RefSeq lists it as uncharacterized. The transcript has 2 exons. Lineage: Eukaryota; Metazoa; Chordata; Mammalia; Primates; Cebidae. The record is from RefSeq and is a predicted model, not a curated record.
GAGCAAAACUCCACCUCAAAAACAAACAAACAAAACAAAACAAAACAAAAAACAACCGUAUGGUAAGCCAGAGAAGCCUGACUCUGUGAUCCUAUUUAGUUUAGUUCAAGAAUAGGUAAAACUAGCGGAUGGAGGCAGAAAUCAGAACACUGGUUAUCUCUGGAGUUUGAUGCCCUGAGGCAUCCCUGGAGGAACAAGGAGGAACUUUCUACAGUGGCAAUGGUCUAUAAAUCUGAAGCUUUUUGAGUCUCAAGAAAACACAAGUGUAAAAUUCCGUACCUGACCUCAUGUGAUAGAUGGCAGUCAAAAUUUUGUUUCAUGAACAAAAUUAUUAAGAAAUAUCUUAAAAUAAUUACUUUUGAGGCAAUGUGUGUAAGAAACAUAAAUGAAUUUCAUGUUUAGACUUGGGUCCUAUCCCUGAGAUACUUCAUUAUGUAUAUGCCAAUAUUCCAAAUC